This 447-nucleotide unclassified non-coding RNA is filed under the name Hevea brasiliensis (rubber tree). Lineage: Eukaryota; Viridiplantae; Streptophyta; Magnoliopsida; Malpighiales; Euphorbiaceae. The record is from RNAcentral.
AGACUAUUAUCUCAUUAAUCUAUCAAAGGUUUGUCGGUCAAUUUGAUCAAAAAACAAAAAUAUUGAUUAAAUUCACUCAAAUUCGAAUCUUUAGGACUAUUUCUUGUGGAAAAGCAGAAGGCGGGUAAAGGAAUUUGGAUAUCUAUAAACGGAGUGUUCCUAGAAGGCGCCUGCGGCAGAAGGAAUAUUAAAAACCAAACAAGAAACAGAAACAAUGAAAAAUCUGUAUGCGAAACCCAAACCAUCACUUUAUAUUGAUGAUCUCGGAUAGAUUUGCUGCACUCAAAGCUGCCUCCUCUAGCACUACCACUACCACUAGUCUGUUGCUGGGACUAUUAUGGCAAUGACUACGAUGAUGGAGGGGGCAAAGGUUAAGAAGAUUAUUCAGUGGGCCAAAGACGCUGCUCGUCUCGACCCUCUUCACAAAAUGUUUCAAAAUUGAUCAAC